RNAcentral lists this long non-coding RNA (32095 nucleotides) under Lathyrus oleraceus (garden pea). Its description in RNAcentral is "Pisum sativum (pea) long non-coding RNA (PSAT_LNC031912)". The record is from RNAcentral. Lineage: Eukaryota; Viridiplantae; Streptophyta; Magnoliopsida; Fabales; Fabaceae.
UCAAAUCCAGAGGUUAAGCGUACUCUGGCAACUUUACGUAACGCAGAGUUUGGUUUUUUAGGGUUAAUAGUGGAAAAGUUGACAGAUAAGUAAUCCUUACUGCCACUCUACAGAACCGUACAUGAGAUUUUCACCGCAUACGGCUCCUCGUUCAAUUCUUUCGACGUAAUUCGAUCCUUUAUCCUCGUUCGAUAAUCUCCACUUCUUCCCCCAAACCCAAAAUCACGAGAACUAAUUAAGUCAGUCACGUUUUCAUGUUUGAAUUGAACACUUUUUUUUAUUCUCAAAGGAGAAAAUUAUUCUUUUUACUUAUUUCUUUUCUUUUUUGCCAUUAUUCCUUCGUUUCAUCCUGUAAGAUCUGACCCAUUUUCUUAUUCAUCGAAAGGUCAGGUACGGAAUAAAGAAGAUUGAUUUUUUGAUCAAAAGUACUAUAUGAAAUUGUUGGUUUUUUCUCUUUCUACCUAUGUUGUAAGUAUACUGUUUAAAUCAAUAUCAAUAGAAAACCUUUUUUUCUGUAUGAAUCAAUAUUAUUCCAUUCCAAUUCCUUGCCAAUAUUUCCCAAAGAAAAUACGGAAUUGGAUCUUAAAUUGACGGGUUAGUGUGAGCUUAUCCAUGCGGUUAUGCACUCUUUGAAUAGGAAUCUAUUUUGUGAAAAAUCCCGGCUUUCGUGCUUUGGUGGGUCUUUGAGAUCCUUUCGAUGACCUAUGUUAAAAAGAUAUCUAUCUAUUUAUGAUACGACGAUGAAUUGUGUAAAGCGUGUAGUAGCAACGGAACCAGAGAGAAUAUAUGGAAAAGACAGUUCUAUUGUAUACUAUUCUAUUAUUAUAUAUUAAUAUUAGUUAAUGAUCUCGGCUCAGCGAGUCCUUUCUUUCGUGAUGAACUACCUACAUUUUGUCGCUGUGGGCCGAGGAGAAAGGCAACAAGAGGAUUGUAACAUCAUAAAAGCAAGUAGAUCAACGUCUUUCCAAUAUACAACAUAGGUUUUGGCAAUGCAAUGUGGUUGGGCUCUCAUGUCCAUCCGAAUAAAUCAUCCUUUUCGCUGAAGUAAUUGCCUGCUAGACAAGAGGAUAACAAGUUCAAAAUUCUGUGUUAAUGGUCGGAUUACCCCUCUGUUUUUUGUUUUGUAAUGAUGAAUCUUAUAUGUGUUCCUAAAAAAAAUUUGUAUCUUUUUCAGGGUCUCGGGGAGAAGUGGAAACACAGAUGUAACUCCAGUUACUUCGUAAAUGAAAAAAUCUUUGUCACAAGAAAAAAGGGGUUCAUCCAUUUAAUCUUGCCUUCGUUCUGAUUUAUUUCUAUUUUUAAGAAUACGGAGUCGGGUUCUUACCCGUAUUGAAUAGAACACUGAGCUAAAUCUUCUUUAUUUAGAUCCGGAAAAUCCUAUGGUUUUAUGAAAUCAUAUGAUAUUGCGCAAAUCCAUAGUCAAUCCUAUUUCCGAUCGGAGCAGUUGACAAUUAAAUCUAAUUUUGCCCAUUCAGCUAAGAGUGUUCCACGGAGGCCCGUUUAAGUUAAAAAAAAAAANUAUGAGCAAGUGAAAUGGAAUAAAAGAAAUAACAAAAUUUUGAAAAUUUGUCAGUUUAUUUGAAUCAUGAGGAAAGUGUGAUUCAAAUCAAGGAGCUCAUGAUUUGAAUUAUGUACAAAAAUGAUUUGGAUCAAAUGCAACAGCCCCAACUGGAAAAUGCUGAAAAAGUGUAUGAUUUGAAUCAUGUUUAAAAUUUAUUCAAAUCAAAUCAAGCAGAAAUGAACAUCAAGAAAUUGAUUCGAAUCAUCUGUAAAAAAUGAUUUGGAUCAAAUGGUCCAAAACCAAUUAACAACCACCAACAAAUAAUUCCAAUGAACAUAUGAGCUAAACAACUAAGAAGCAUAUACAACAAUAGAGAUCUCAUAUUGAACAUAAAAAUAGACAUGUCACGAGCAACAAAAUACAAAUAGACAUGCAACACCAACAUUCAAUAGCUAACAAUUACGCGUUCAAAUGCACAUAAUUAGUAACACAUACUUAAAAGACUUAAAUGCAAAUAAGAACAAUUAAAGACACAAGCUAGAGAUGAAUGAGUAACAUAAAAGGGAAAUAAGCAAACCAAUGCAUGACUCUAGAACAAAAACUUAGAAUGAUAUAAACCGAAUACAAGGGUUAUAGACACAUAUUAUUGUAGCUCGGUAAAAACUACGAUUUACUACAAAAUAGUAUUAGUGAAACAAAAUAUAUAUAGAAAAUGAAACUAAACUAAACCCUCAUUCUAUUUAAGGCAUGAAAAGUAUAAGACUCCCAAAUCCCUACAAAUAUUGUGAAAGGAAUCCGUUGACAUGUCAUUGAAUGCAUUCGAUAAUUCAAUAUAAGUAUACUCAUUUUCAUAAUCAGAAUUAUAUACCUUUGAAGUUCCACUUUUCUUACGUGCUAUCAAAAAAAAGCUAGCACCCUCAUCAUCUAAACUCGAUCAAGAAUAGAAGGAGGAGCUCUCAUCCUCUUAUUCCCACAUAAUGUAGGCUUUGUGACCUUUGGAAUUCUUUCCCUUCGUCUUGUAGAAAUCCUUGUCUCUUUUUAUGAUGUUUGGUGAGACUUGGACAUGUGGUUAUAUAGUGUCCCAAUUUACCACACUCGUAACACGUGAUAUCAUUAUCAACUUUCUUGUGAUCUUUCAUGGGUGGAUGAGUAUUUAUGAAAUUCCUUAGACCUUAGUCGGUAUGCUUGAGCUAGUUUCUCUUAAGAUAUCUAUUAUAACGUCUGACGAAUAAACCCAUUUCUUCCUUUUUGGAAACUUCUUCGCCAAAGUUGUCACUUUCUUUCUUUGAUUUCUUCCCUUUAGAAGAUGAAUAUUUCAAAGAAAGAUCUUAUUUCUCUUAUUUAUAUUUCUCUUUAUUUUUUGAAUUUACUUCACUAUCGAUGAUUCAUUUCAACUCAUUCUCUGCUUGACUAACUUUCCAAAUAGUUUUGUAAUAUCCAAAGUAUUAAGAUCAUUUGAUUCUUUUAUAGAAGUGACUUUUGAUUGCCACUUCCUGCACAUGGAUCUCAAUAUUUUGUUAGUACAAUCUUUCUUGGAAAAGAUUGUACCAACUUAUACACUUUGUUGAUUAAAUGGAGGAAUCUAGUUUGUAUGGAAUUCAAGGACUCUUUGGGUCCCAUACGAAAUAGUUCAAACUCUUCUAUAAACAUAUUGAUUUCAUAAUCCUUGAUGUCAUCUGUUUCCCCAUAGAGAGUUUGGAGAGUGUACCACAUACCUUUAGCACUCAUAUGAUGUAAAAUUGAAUAGAACACUUUAGCGCUUAACGGAGAAACAAGUAUGUUCCCCGCUUUCAAAUCAUAUGAAGCCUUUUUGGUUUCAACAUCAUCCCAAUCGUUUGGAUGUUUAGCAACGUCAUCAUUUUCCGUUGGAAUAUUCGGUCCCUCGAUGAUGGCACACCACAUAUUUUUUUCAACUGAUAACAAGUGUACAUAUAUGAUUGGUUUCCAAUAACUAUAAUCUUCUCUUUUGGAAAUAGGUUCUCUAUUAUACGCUCCCUUAGGAUCGUCACCUUCUGACAUAUUCAUAACUUUUGGAUGUCGAUUAGACACAAUCAUGAAGCUAGCAGAAAUAUACCCGAACACAUCGCACGCUCGAAGAUACAACAGAGUUCCCAUCAAACUUUAUUUAUUCCUGUAGGAAAAGGAAAAUAUCGAUAAAACCCGGGGCAAGAGAAAAAGGGCAAGGAAGUCAGUUAUGCAAGGGGAAGGUAUUAGCACCCCUCAUAUUCAUUUUAUUAAAUAGGAACCGUUUUGAUUGUUUUAUGGUUGGAUGAGUGUUACAUCUAAAGAUUACUCACAAAAGAAUAAGGGAAAAAGAACGGAAUAGAUAGAGUGCUCGGUGAGGAUUAAGGCACUCAUGCCUACAUAUCCUUAUAGUGAAAUAAGGAAUUCAGAGCUCCGUAGUUCAUAAAACCAAUGACGGGAGAUGAAAGAAGAGUGAUAAAGGUAUGGUUUGAACCAAAUGAUAAUGUGGUUUGAACCCAGAGGGUAGGUAUGUCUGAACCCAAGAGGAAAACUGGCAUAUUGCCAAAACAAAUGGGUAUUGCUUGUAUACGGUUGCAAAGUAAGUAAAGAGAUGUUUUUCUAAGAAACGAGAGGGAUAACAAGACACAAGAGGGUUUACAAGGCAACAUGGAUUCAUCUAGGGACGAGAGUGUCGCAUCCUGCGAAAAAUCAACCGGCGGGACUCAAAUAAAAACACACACAGAGCCGCCACUGCGCGUUAUUUAUCCCAAGAUAGGGAAAGGAAACGCUCAGAGAAACCUGGAAAGGAAAUGGUCUUGCGACCAAAGAGAAAGGGUAAGGGNGGUGUGACACAAAUUGUCACACCUAAGUUCCAAAAUUCAUAACUCAAUCACCAGGAAUCCAAAAUUCACAAAAUUUACAUGUAAAUAACCAUCAACCAGUCUACAAUUACCACAAAAAUUUUCAAGCGUUUCUUUCACAGCAUGAGGAUUUCACAAUGGAUAUGGUAGAAUGUACCAAAAUAUAUCACAUGUUAAUCAACCCUAAGUCAAACACAAUUUUCACCAUGCACAACUUCAAUCAAUAGGUCAAUAAAAUUCUACAGUCAAUUAGGAAGUCAACAAAAAAAACCACAUAUUUUUCUGAUUUUUAAAUUAUUUUUUAUGAAUUUUUUAAAGUGUUUAUGAAUUUUAACAAUUUUUUAGAAUUAAAUUAAUUAAUUGGAUUAACCAAUGGCAUAGUCGUAAUUAACAUGACGCGGGGGCGGUAAACACUGAGUUCAAAUAUUCAAAUGGAAUUUCAGAUCAAACACCAUUUCAUCAUCGUUUUCAUUCCAGAUUUUCCAGAAAAAGCAAGAACACGAAGAACAUGAAAUCUCCACCAAAACUCACAAACGAAUGUCGUUGGGAACCGUCCCUCAACCAUAGAAAGUCCAAUAUCAUCCUAACUCAACCUAAUUGUUCCUAUAUCUAUGGAAUCGAAGGAGUAGGUGUUUGGUUUCAUACUUCCAAUCAAUGAUUUUCAGCCUACAGUCAUCAUUUACUAAAACUAAAGCAUCACGAGCUCUACAUGAAGAGGUUCUACAAAAACGCAAUAAAGCAUCAAAGAACAUGAACAUUCGAAAAAAUCAAAUACCUGGAAUGCAGCGAUGAAAACUUGGUGUUCUUCGUGCGUGUUUUCCAACAAACAGAUGUAGUAGUGUGAUAAGGAAAGUGAUGAUGCGCUCAGGUUCGAACAAAUCAGCUCCUAAUGCUCCAAAUCGCGAUUUGCAUGAAUGAUGCUUGUAGUGUGCAGUCACGAUUCAAAGCUCCUUUCGCUUCCAAAUCUUCAAAAACAGAUGGAGAUGAUGAUGAAUCAAGACCAAUGCUAAAGAAUUUCGCAAAUUGAGCAAGAAUGGAGGAAGUUUGAUGAAUUUGAGUGUGAAGUGUUCUUGAGAGGUUCUUGGAGAAUUUUGAUGAAUUUUGAUCUGAUUUUGGGAAAUGUGUUUUCUCCUUAUGAUUUAGAUGUGAUUAGGAUAUAUACUCAAGCUUAAUUACCACUUAAUCACACUAAUUACCAAAAAUAGAAAUGAUUAGCAAAAGUGGUUAUUUCAAGCCUGGGGCAAAUUGUAUUUCCACAUGCCAGCUCAUUGCCACCCUCAUGGACAGCUCACACAACUCUCAAAAUGACAUGUGUGAGUUGUUGCAACUUGUUUCACCUUCAUUUGGAUGAGUAUUUGAAAUUCACUAUGUUGAUGGCACUUUGUCCAUUUUUGCAAGUUCAUUCCAAAAGCUAUUUUCCAAACCAUGAUGCUUUAAACGUUAUGAUGAUUCCAACAAAUUUCAAAUACCAUUUGUGAAGUGUUGCAAAAUCCCCACUCAAAAAUCCAAUUAUUUCACACGUUGGACAAUUUUUGCCUAUGGUUCAUUUAACUGUCGCAGUUGAAAUUUGACUUUUUGCAUUGACCAUUUUUGAGAAAACCAAUUAUGCACCAUGAAAGUAUAUGUCAAAUGGAGUUUGUGCAUAUAAAGAAAUUCCAAUUUGGAUGCUCCAUGUGGAAGUUAUGGCCUCCUGAUUAUGGGUCAUUUUUAAUUUCACUGAGCCCUAAUUUUCCAACCAUACAUGGGAAUUUUCAAAGUUCUUGGACUUUUUGGAAAGGUGAGACCAAGAUCUACAACUUUCAUGUUGAACAAAUUUUGAUUUGAAGCUUCCUUGGACAUUUUAUUUUGGAGUCAAAAACUUUCCAUUUUUGGAAACUUCUAUUACAAGUCACUUUCCAUUUUUGGCCAUUUUUGUCCUGACUUGAUUUUCUUCAUUCUUAAGCUUUGAGAUGUCAUACAACACUUGUUCCAACUGAAUGAAGUGUAUCCAACUCAUUUCCAACUCCAAAUCCAUCAGAUCAUGUACAGUUGACCACAGUUGACUUUUUCACUAACAAGAUGAAUUUGGCAAUGCAUAGAUCAAUCUGAGCUCCUCCAAUCUCCUGAUGAAAUGCUCAAGGAUGAAACCCUAACUCAAUUAGCUCAAUACAACCACAUAAUGAUCCCCAUAUCCAUCAUAACCACAUCUCCUGAUUAUGCCCUGAACUGGCCCAAUGGUAACUGAUUAGGGUUGACCAGUGGUCAAAAACCUAAUCUCAAGAAUAAGCUUCAAUCUCCUGAUGAUGACAAACCAUGAUGAUGAUGAUGUAUCAUUGUAAUCAAGAUGAAGACCAAUAUCCUUUGAGAAUCAAACAAAACCCUAAUUCACAGCCCAAUCCUCAGAUGGCCAAUGAUCAGUCAAUAAAACCCUAGCUUGCACAUUAACUUCCUCAUCUCCUGAACAAGACUUGUGAGGAUGACUUGCACAAUGUAACCACAUGAUAUGCAAUAUGCAAUGCCUAAUGACCUAAAAAUGAUAUGCCAUAUGUUAAUGCUAGUCCCAAGAGAGGAGGGCAAAUUUUGAGGUGUUACAGAGAGGUCUUAUAAGACGAACAAUGAAUAAGAUAUGAUUUGCCUAAGCACAAUAGGAUUUACAAGGAAAAUAAGCUCAAAGGGGUUGUCUAAGCACAAAAGGUCUUAUAAGAGAACAAUGAAUAAGAGAUAAUUUUCCAAAACACGAGAGGGUUUACAAGGCAAAAGAGCUCAAGGGGUUUCAUAAGCAUGAAAGGUGUUAAAAGGAAAAUAAUGAAAAAGAGAGAGGGCUUAAGAAUAAGAGGACUGAUAAGACUCACAAUUAAUGAAUAGGGUUUGCAAAUGCACAAGAGGAUUGUGUAGCGGUAAAUUCAUGACCAUCAAGCUAUGGAUAAACUUAACAUCAAUAAAACCACAGUCGCCACUGCGCUUUUAUUAUUUCCAAAGGAAAAGUAAAAAGUAUGAAAAAACCCCAAAGAUAAGAAGUUUUCAAAUCAAAACUAAUAAAAUGCCAGAGAUUACAGGUAAGGGGGUUGGUUACACAGAGGGAAUGUGUUAACACCCAAAGUGUCCUAGGUACUCCUAGGGAGCCCUUUUUUGUGUGCAUAUGUUUUUUGGUAUAAAUGAUGUUUGAUAAAAUAUAGAGUGUGGGGAUGAGAAAAGAAUUCAUUAAUUAUCUUUUUGUUUUUGACAAGACCUUCGGUCUUAUGCCUACGUACCAACAUAAAAAUGAGAGAUCAAAAACUCGUAGUUCGUGGUAAAUAUUUCAAAGAAGUUGGUGAAUUAAUUUUAACAAAAGUUUAACUAGAAAAGGGCACAAAAAGGCCAAACAUUUGAAUGAGGUUGUUAGUUCUUUUUGUCUUUUGAAAUUUAGGUCAAUAUGGUUAAGUUCAUUUACAAAUUUGAUUUAAGAAAAAGUUUUUAAAAAAUCAAUGGCAUGAGGUCAAAGUUUCUAAUCGUUAAAACACGUUUAAGUUGGAAAACACAUGCAAAGAAUUUUUUUGAAAAGAGGGAGAAGUUUUGAAAUUUAAGAAGUGAGAGGAGAUGAAGAGACUAUCCUAAGAAUUUUUUUAAAAGUUAAGAGUUGAAAAGAUCUGAUCAAUGGGAUGCAACUCAACAAACAAGAAUGUCGUAUAGAAACACAUUUUCCUUUGGACUUUGAUCAAGAAAUAAAAAAUAAGUAAUGAGAAAUAUCCAAACAUCAUAAAGAUCAAGGCAUCAAAUAAAGAUAUACAUAUCCAAGUAAGCAUUCCAAUAGCUAGCAGUCUUCAGUGUCUUCCAAUGUAUUAGAUGAAAUAUUCCUUGAUUAACUCAGAACAAAACAUCUGACAUAGACAAUAACCAAAAUAACAAUUAAGCACCAAGACAAAGUAACAAAUGAAUCAAUGAGAUCAAAGGUCUUGCAUCAGAUGAAAGUCACUGUCAAAGAUAGCUCAGUCUCAGAUGUUGGCAUUGGCCAACUCCUUCAGCAUAGGGAAUGCUGCCUAAUUCUAAGUCCAAAGCUCAAAUCAAGUCGCAAUAGUCCAUAAAAUGUUUUUUAGGGUUUUUGUUGUUAUUAGGUGUUUUAGGGUCCUAAGACCACAAAAUCAAAACACACAAACAAAUAUAUACAAUCACAAGAUAUGGCUCAAGUGAGCAAAGUAAAAAAGGACUUAAACAUAAACAAGUUGUAUGAAAUGUAAAUGGCAAUGAAUGAUAAAUGACUGAAAUUUAAAUUGCAUAAAGUAAAUGACUUGAAAGUAAAAGCAUAAUGAAUAAGAGUUGGUCAAUGGUUAGUCAAAUGUUAGUGUUGAGUUUUAAUUGAUUAAGUCAUUCUUUGGAGAACACUCAACCAUUCAUUCACAAGUAUAAAUCCUUGAACCAAGACAUCUCCCACGAGAAGGGCUCCAACUUGGAUAACUCGACAAGUAUGCCACUAGCUCUCAUGAAAGGAAAAAAUUUCAAAUCUCUAUACAAUGCCAUGAAGAAUGGGAGACUUACAUUCUCACUUACUAGAAUGUUAUGCCUUCUUGAUCAAAUCUAGCUCUAUGUUAAGUAAUUGUAAUUGGACUUAUGUAGAAGUCACAACUAUCUGAGGCCGAGAAAUAAAAAUAUAGGUGUUAAUGCAUGUUAGAGACUUGGUACAAAGAACCAAACUCCUAAAAUAUACCACACACUAAAAGAAAAUGAGAGGGACAUAUCUCAAUCAGACUUGUAUUGAUUCAUCUGACACAAGGUCAUUAUGAAUCAAUUAUCAUUUAGACAUUAGAGAUUUCAUUGGUCAAAUAAGGGAAUGAGGAAGAAUAGGGAUGAAGAUGAAUAGGGAGGGGGAAAAUAGAAAUACAAAUUGAUCAUGAGAGGAAUUUCAUCUGAUCAAUACCAUCCAUUCAUUUUGGGAGAUAAAAUGUACAUUUUAUCAAUCCCCUAAAUCCAAUGGUUUUGAUCAAACAAAAGUCAAAUCAACCAUGACCAAAGGACCUUAGAUAAAAAUUUUCACAAUUUUUAGAAAGUCAGAAGUAUUUUAAAAUAAUUAAAAAUAUGCACAAAAACAUUUAAUUCAUGAAAAUACCAAAAUUAAUCCAAAAAAUAAUUUUAAUUCAAAAUAUGGAAGAGGAAAUUUUUUAAAGAUUUUUGGUGAAAGUCCCAUAUUUUUUGGAUUAAAAUGAAAUUUCUAUGAAUUAAACAAAAUAAGUGGAUUAAAUGAAAAUUCAGAAAAUACAAAAAAACAAGGGCCAUCAGAUCUCCCUCAUUAAUUGAGCUAGCAAAUAUGAUGGUCAAGUGUGCGCUUCACAUCAUGCACCUCAGUCAACGCAUCAUAGAGAUGGUAAUCAUAAGGAGCGAUCAAGAUUAAAACAUUUCAAAUGAAUCAGAAGGUUGAGAGAGUGCCAACGCACGACCGGAGCCCUAGCUCCGGUCUUCUUCUCCGGUGGACCUCACCUGACUGGUCCACCACCAACCUUCACCAAAAUAAAAAGUGUGGACAUGAUUUUAAAGGAAAAAUGCUCAGGAGCUCGAAUCUGACCUCCAUUUCAUCCAAUUCCAUUUAUUAUGAAAGAUACAUGGAUUUGAAAUUUGAGGUUCAUGAUCUGAGUUGCUUCGGUUUGACCUUAAAGCAACUCAAUCUUGUUGCCUACAUUGGUAGGACUUCAGACAACCAAUAAUCAAGUAAAAUAGUUGAGAAAUGAGGGAGAAUCGAAGAAGAGAAGUUUGAGAAAAAUCACCUUCGGGUAGCUUCAAUUCAUCUUGAUAUUGUUUCAAAUUUUCCUUGGCUCGACUCUAGAAGCUUGCAGGAAGUGAAAUGGAUCAAUGAGAGGCUUGGAUUCUUGGAGUUUCAAUCUCAAAACAGAAGGAGAAUUGAAACUCGAUUUCAAGUGAAAUCUUCAAGUUUAUCCUUUAAUGGAAGCUAGGGAUGCAAGGGUUCAAAGCUUGGGCAAAAGGGAUCCUCAUUCGAUCGCAAUGGUCAUGUAUAUAUAGCAUAAUAAGUUGCUUUUCACACACUUUGGAAUUUUGCCAAUUUUAGCAACUUUGGUGCAUGGAUGCAUAGGUAAUGAUUUGGGCCCAAUUCAUGAUGUGAUCUCACUCCAAUUCGUGCACAAUGAAUCUUGAAAUAAUAACAUGUAAGCAUGCAAAAGGAAAUGGUCAAUUGAAUUCAAAUCUUGCCAAAACAAACAUAUGAAAGGAACCAUGCGCAAUUCCCUCAAAUCUUGUCUAAAUUAAGUGAUCUUGGACUUUUCAGAAAGGUUAAAUCAAGGGGAACAACUUUGAUGUUAAAAACGUUUCCAUUUUAAGCUUGUAUCAUGAUGAAUUUUGAGGUGGAAGUUUGAGAAAUCAAACAUAAUUGAAAUUUUUUAAAGCUACCAAGUCAAAUGACCACUUCUUCCACCUUGAAUAACUUUUUCUAUGAGCUUCAAAUGAAAAUGGUUUCUUCACAGAAGUUGUAUCUUUUUCAUCUCUAUUUAAUUUGGUAAAAAAUUUGACCUCAUUUGGAUUUGGCAUGAGGGAGUUCUUCAUUUUAGAAGUUGAGGAAAAUUGCUUGUUCAAUGGUAAUGGCCCAAAAGGACCUAUAAUGUUUCCUCUUGGAACAUGCCCUUGCAAGUUGAAUUUUACAUUUCUCAAAUAAUAAAGGUUGAAGAGGAAAUAUUUAAAUUGAUCAUGAAACUUUGAUGGUCUUUAUAUCAUAAAAAUUGAGCGACUUAUGGUCCUUAGAAGUUGACCUCCUAAUUAGGACAUAAACAAAAUGACUUAUAAUCUUUCACCAUAAACAAUGACUUUCCAAGCAAAACUAGAUAUUGAUGUAAACAUUAAAGUUGUUUGGAAUGUCAUAAAGAGUAACUUUGAUCUUGGAAUCAUUUUCAUAUGACAAAAAGUGUAGGAGAUAGGGUCUAGGGAAUUCCAGUUUUGACCAAUUGACUUUCUUUGGUCAACCUCUUUGAACCAACUUGCAAACUUGGAGUUAUCUUGAUCUUUGGGACUCAUGGAGGAUAAUAUAUGCAUAAUAAGAUGUUAAAUUAAGUAUCCCUUGAUAUAUUGGAUCAAUUGUUGAAGAAACUUGUUGAGGAAGUCACACAAGAUACCCAUAUGAAUUAGGGUUUUCAAGGCAAACAAGCUUCAAACUCUUGAUGAUUUCUUGAUCCAAAUGAUAAAUAAAGAACAUGGGGAUCCAUAUAUGAAGUUAAUAACCAUUGUGAACCAUAUAUUGAUUGAUCUCCUUGCACUGAGGGUCUCAAGCUCUAGUUGUGAGCUUGAUAGGGCACAUGUGGAUGCACACACUACCUACAAAAGAAUCAAAGCUAUAUAUGGACAUAUUUUUGUAUUUUGGUUAGUAAACAGAGAACAAUAAAGUAUGAUACAAUCAAAUGUGCUUGGUGAUCUCUCCCAAAACAAAUCCAAUGAAUGGGGGGGGGGGGUAAGAAGGAUGCCAUGGUGUGAUCCCACAUCCAAUGCAAAUGAUGAGAUAGCAUGAGGGAUCUUAGGGUCAAAAUUGGGGUCUUACAGCUGCCCCUAUUUAAGGACAUUCUAACUGAGGAUGUGAAGGUUAAAAUAUUUGUAUCACCUCAGUGUAAUGGACUUAAAUAAAAACGUCAAGAAAAAAAUUUUGGUCCCUAAGAGACCUCAUGAUGCAUAUGAUAUGAAUGUUAAAAUAAUCUUUGUGGGGAAUAUAUUGCCACAAAGGAAAAGAAUUCGGAGAGACUGAAAGUCCAAAGAAGCAUAAUGCAUUCCAUAAGGAAAACUCACUGAGGAGACAUAGACUCUAGGGGAUAAAAUUCUAUGCAUAUGCCAGGCUACGACUUGAAAACUGCUAGAGACACGAGGGAUUUUCCAUAAAAAUAAAUCAAUGGAAAGACUCGGUCUGGGGAUAAGGUUAUCUGCAGGGGAUGGCGACUUCACUAAGGAAAUACGCGCUCAAACUCAACUGGGGAAGAACGAACUUCAAUACAGGAGUAAAAGAGAUGUAUUAUCUACUAUCAGUUACUGGGUAAGAAGAUAAUAUACUCUGAUAGAGGGACAUCCAUUACCGAUUAGGGUAAACAUAUCAAGGAUGACUCGCUGAGGAAAAAUAGGCGCAUUCAUUAUCGAUUACUGGGUAAGAAUAACCUACUGGGGAGAAAAAAAAUAAAAUAGGAUUUACAACUACCUGUUACUAGGUAGAAGACCAAAAAGAGAGUAUCCGUCACUGGUUAAAGUGAACAUAUCAAGGAUAAACUCAAAGGAAGAAUAUUCGUCAUCGAUUAGGAUGAACAUAUCAAGGAUAGACCACCUGGGGAAAGAGGAAGAAUAUCUGUUACGUAUUAGGGUAAAUAUAUCAAGGAUAAAAUGCCGAGGAGAAAUAUGAAUUACAACUACCAGUUAUUGGGUAGAAGACCAAAGAUAGAGAAUACCCGUUAUCGGUUAGGAUGAACAUAUCAAGGAUAGACUCAGCAGAGGAAAUAGGAUUUACGACUACCGGUUACUGGGCAGAAGACCACAAAAAUUGAGAGAAUAUGUCAUUGGUUGGAGUGAAUAUAUCAAGGAUUAACUCUGAGGGGAAAAGUAGGAUUUAUAUCUACCAUUUACUGGGCAGAAGACCGUAAAGAGGAGAAAAUUCGUCAUCGGUUAAAGUGAACAUAUCAAGGAUAGACUCUCUAGGGAAUAAAAGUAGGGAUUACAACUACCUUUUUACUGGGUAGAAGAGCAAAAAUAGAGUAUAUUUGUCAUCGGUUAGUAUGAACAUAUCAAGGAUACACUCACCGGGGAAACAUGAAAAUGAAUCCGCUGGGGAAAAUAAAGGAAGUAGAUUACAUUUUAUCGAGUAUUAGGCAAAAGUAAUGUACUCAACAUCAAGAAGAAUAUUGCCUGUUUAUGGGUAAUAGACCUUGGAGACCAAAAGAUCCAUUUAGGUAUGAACUAGAAAGAAAUGGUCAAACAAAGACUCAACGCAAUGAGGAUAUAACUCAAGGGGAGUGGUUCCAUCCAGGUAUAGUACUGGGGAGAACACCAAAAUAAUAAUCAUCCACAAGGAAAUAACUCAAUGGGGAAUGAGACAAGAUAAACUCUUUCUUCUUAAAGGGGAUGACACUCUACAAAUGAAGGAGGACAGACACACCAAAUCUUUAUGGGGAAAUAAUAUCACCAAAGAAGGGGAUCAGAAGAAAAAAUCAAUGCGAUAAAAAUGCGUAAUGAAAUUUCUUAUGUUGUGUUUUAUGCAUGAAUAUGCAUGUGUAUGAUUAUGAUUAUGCCGACAAAAAUAGCACUAACGAUACAAAUAACGAAUAUUUGAAUCAUCACUAUAAAACACUCAGCUAAUCUCAACAAGAUGGAAACACCAACUAGAGAAUAUGCUAGGGAUGAAAAUAAAUCAUCUAGCUCUAAAUAAAUCAACUCUGGCUGGGGAAAGACAUGGAGAACAUGCUUCCAAUCAAUCAUGGCAAACUCCCCGGGGGGGAAGAGAGCAUUGUUGAAGGAUAAUUAACCAAACAUGCAUAGGAUAGAGAAGGAUAUGCUAAGGAUCCAAAUAAGCCAACCCUUCAGGGAAUUUUAAGUCAACACCAUGUCAAAUGAUAGACAACCUUGCAGGGUACAAAAACAAAUACUGCUCAGAACCAAACACUGUCGGGAAUGAGGGAUCUUCUAUCGAAAUAUGAACUCCGCCAGGGAAUAUAAGAGAUAAAACUCUGAAUGGGGAUUUGAGCAAAUUGUUGGGGAUGCUGUGACUUGUUGGAAUAAACCAAAGACCAUCAUACUCCUCAAUAAUCAUAAAAUCCUUCUUGGAAAUUGCGAAAUAAACCAAUUCCAAGGCAAAGAUAACCAGGAUCAGACUCACAUAGGGGAGAAGUUGUCGUGGUUAUGUAACACAAAAAAAAUGCAAUUGGGGACCUGGAGACCAAAUAAAGGUUCCGAGAUAUCCAUGGUUCAAUCAUCAAGUCACAAACUAGGGGAUGAAAAACAUGAACACCUCAGCUGGGGAAGAUGAAAUUUGCAAAGGGGACUAAUCAUCAUCUCUACCGGAGAUAAUAAGUUGCUCGGGGAGCAACUUCUUAACCAAGUUGGGAACAAACGACGAACUGUUGGGGAGGAAAAAGUUACCAAACCAACUGCUUGGGGGAGACCAACAAUGCUUCACACUUCAAGACUUACUUGCUAAAGUGAAUGUUUUUAUUAUUUUAAGAAAAAUAAUUAUUCGUUAAUUUAUUUCAAAAUUAUCAUCAUAAAAAUUACACUUUAUUACAGAAAUAAAUAAGAAUGGAAAUAAUUGGAUAAAAGCUCAACUUUAUUUAAUAGAAUGGUAGUCCGCGAAUGGUAGGACUCCACGGAUCUUUACAAAGUUUGAGAAAUGGUAUUUUACAUGGAAAAGGGUUACAUUGAAUACAAUGAUCACUACUCUCCCUACCAACUUUAAAAUCCGUUAUGCUCUUGUAUUUGGUUGAGAAUGACGAAUCAGAACCAAAUGACUAUUCAAAACUGCUUCAAAGACCAGGACCGACCGAAUGCAGUUACUUGCCAUAAUCCCUAAUUUUUGCCUAGAUUUCUCCAAGGUGGGGUACUCAAUCUACCGGGAUAAAUUUUCUGUUUUGUGUCUGUAACUUUUGCUUGGAUCGCCCUUUCGGGUUUUCAAUCCACCGAGACACUCAUUUUUGCCUAAGCCGCCCUUUCGGGUUUUCAACUUAGCGAGCUUUUCCUUUAUUAUUUUAGGCGAAUUAUUUCUUGACUGCACCGGCAUUCACAGGACGCGUGAACUCUUUACCAUCCAUAGUUGUAAGAAUUAAAGCACCUCCUGAAAAGACUCUCUUAACAACAUAUGGGCCUUUAUAAUUAGGAGUCCAUUUGCCCCUAGAAUUAGGUUUGAAAGAUAAAAUCUUCUUGAGCACGAGGUCACCUCUUCUGAACACACGGGGCUUAACCUUCUUAUUAAAAUCUUUCUUCAUUCUUUGCUGAUAUAACUGACCAUGACACAAGGAAGUCAAUCUCUUCUCUUCAAUCAAAUUCAACUGGUCAUAUCUACUUUGACACCAUUCAACUUCAGUAAACUUGGCUUCCAUCAAAACACGCAAUGAUGGGAUCUCCACCUCAAUGGGGAGCACAACUUCCAUGCCAUAAACAAGAGAGAAAUGGGUUUCCCCAGUUGAAGUGCAGACGGAUGUACGGUACCCAUGCAUAGAAAAUGGGAGCAUAUCAUGCCAAUCUUUGUACGUCACAACCAUCUUCUUAAUGUUCUUAUUCACAGCUUCAACAUCCCCAUUCAUCUUGGAUCUGUAAGAUGAAGAAUUAUGAUGCGCAAUCUUGAAGUCUUUGUAAAGAGCUUCCACCAUAUUAUUGUUCAAGUUUGAUCCAUUAUCAGUAAUGAUCUUACUUGGCACACCAUAACGACAUAUAAUUUGAUUCUUGAUAAACCUUACAACAACUUGCUUGGUCACAUUUUCAUAUGAUGCCGCUUUAACCCACUUUCUGAAGUAGUCAAUAGCCACUAAAAUGAAACGAUGUCGGUUCGAAGCUCAAUCAUGCCAAUCAUGUCAAUCCCCCACAGGGAGAAGGGCCAUGGAGAGGAAAUGAUGUUCAACAGUGUCAGAGGAACUUGAAUCUUAUCGGCAUAAAUUUGACACUUGUGGCACUUCUUCACAAACUUGCAACAAUUAAAUUCCAUUGUCAGCCAAUAGUAACCCGCUCUCAACAUCUUCUUUGCCAUAACAUGUCCAUUGAAAUGAGUACCAAAGGAACCUUCAUGGACUUCAGUCAGCAAUAUGUUUGCUUCGUGUCUAUCCACACAUCUGAGCAGAACCAUAUCGAAAUUUCUUUUGUAAAGCACAUCACCAUUCAAGUAGAAGUUGCCAGCUAAUCUUCUCAAAGUCUUCUUAUCUUUCAAAGAUGCCCUAGACGGGUAAAUCUGACUUUGGAGGAAACAUUUGAUAUCAUAAUACCAUGACUUUUCAUCCUUGAAUUCUUCAACAGAAAAUACAUGAUUUGGCCUAUCAAGACGCAUCAUAGUCAAAUUAGGAACCUCAUUCCAAAAAUUCACCACAAUCAUUGAAGCCAAUGUUGCAAGGGCAUCUGCCAUCCGAUUUUCAUCUCGAGGGAUAUGAUGAAACUCAACCUUUGUAAAGAAAGUUGAAAUCCUCCUCGCAUAAUCUCGAUAUGGUAUCAAACCAGGUUGAUUCGUCUCCCAUUCACCUUUGAUCUGAUUCACCACCAAAGCUGAAUCUCCAUAGACGUCAAGAUACUUAAUUCUGAGAUUAAUGGCCUCUUCAAGCCCCAUAAUGCAGGCUUCAUACUCAGCCAUAUUGUUUGUACACUUGAAGGUUAAUCUAGUUGUAAAUGGAAAAUAUGUGCCUUGAGGAGUAAUAAUCACUGCCCCAAUGCCAUUACCAUAUGAAUUGACAGCUCCAUCAAAUACCAUGCCCCAAUGGGAACCAGGUUCUGGCCCUUCUUCAAGUAAUGGUUCAUCACAAUCUUUCAUCUUCAAGUACAAAAUCUCUUCAUUAGGAAAAUCGUAUUAUACUGAGUGAUAAUCUUCAAUAGGUUGGUGAGUCAAAUGCUCAGCCAAGACACUACCUUUAAUGGCUUUUUGAGAUCGAUAUUCAAUAUCAUACUCGGAUAACAACAUCUGCCAACGGGAAAUUCUCCCAGUUAAGGAAGGCUUGUAAAAAAUAAUUGAUUGGAUCCAUUUUGGAUAUCAACCAAGUAGUAUGACUCAACAUAUAUUGGUGCAGACGAUUAGCAGCCCAAACCAAUGCGCAACACGUCCUUUCAAGCACAGAAUACCGAGUCUCACAGUCGGUGAAUUUCUUACUGAGGUAGUAAAUUGCAUAUUCUUUCUUCCCAGAUUCGUCUUGCUGACCAAGAACAUAACCCAUACUCUCUUCAAGCAUAGUCAAAUACAUGAUCAAAGGUCUUCCUUCAAUAGGCGGAGAUAGAAUCGGAGGCUCAAGCAGAUACUCCUUGAUAUUAUCAAAAGCUUUCUGGUAAUCUUUGGUCCAAUCACAAGACUGAUCUUUCCGAAGAAGCUUGGAUAGAGGCGCACAUGUGGCGGUCAUAUGCGAUAUAAAUCGUUAGAUAUAAUUCAAGCGUCCGAGAAAACCUCUGACUUGCUUCUCAGUUUUGGGUGCAAACAUCUCUUGUAUUGCUCUGACCUUGGAAGGAUCAACUCCAAUACCCUUCGCACUGACAAUAAAGCCCAACAACUUACCAGAACGAACACCAAAAGUACACUUAUUGGGAUUCAAGCGGAGUUUAUACUUUCUCAAACGCUGGAAUAACUUUAACAAAUGCUCAACAUUCUCUUCUUCAUCAUUUGAUUUAGCAAUCAUAUCAUAAACAUAAACUUCAAUCUCUUUAUGCAUCAUAUCAUGAAAAAGUGUGGUCAUAGCUCUCUGGUACGUUGCACCAACAUUUGGUAAACCGAAAGGCAACACUCUAUAACAUAAUGUUUCUAGAGUGUAAUGAAUGUGGUCUUCUCCAUAUCUUCAGGUGCCAUCUUGAUUUGAUUAUAACCGGAAAAUCCGUCUAUAAACGAAAAUACUUUGAAUUUAGUUGUAUUGUCUACCAACAUAUCAAUGUAUGGCAGAGGAGAAUCAUCUUUCAGAUUAGCUUUGUUUAAAUAUCUGUAAUCAACACACAUGCGGACUUUUCCAUCUUUCUUUGGAACAUGCACAAUGUUGGCCACCUACUGCGGAUACUCGGAGGUAAUAAGAAAUCCAGCAUCAAUCUGCUUUUGCACUUCUUCUUUGAUCUUUACUGCCAUAUCAGGAUGAGUUCUUCUCAACUUCUGCUUGACCGGCAGGUAUUUUGGCUUCAACGAUAAUCUAUGCUCCACAAUCUCAGAACCAAAACCAGGCAUAUCUUCAUAAGACCAAGAAAACACAUCAGAUUACUUUCUAAGAAGAUCAAUCAACCCCUUCUUAGGUUUUGGACACAAUUGAGACCCAAUCUUAACUUUCUUUACAUUAUCAUUGGAACCCAACUUGACUAAUUCAAUCUACUCUUCAAACGACUGAAUGGCUUUCUCCUCAUGCUCAAGAAAACAUGAUAACUUAUUAGAUACUUCUUCAUCAUCAUUUUCUUCUUCAGCUUCAAACACAGGGAAAUUAAAGUUUGGAGAGGGAGUAGGAUCAUUAUAAUCAAUGGGUUUGAGAACCAACCUGCAUAAUGAUUUGAUAUUCUGGUUUAAGAGAAGUGGAGUGCAAACAAAUAUUAUGCAGGUGGAAGAUUAUUAUUUAUUUAUGUUUUUUUUGUGAUUACCAUUUUCAGAAAAAACAAACAGUAAAAAUAAAACAUCACAGAUUUGGAUGAAUAAAAUUGUAUUUCAUUGAUGAUAAUAAGGAAAAUGCCCAACAAUGUUCACUUCUCCCUUAGGCAUAGGAGAGGGAUUUUUCUUAAAAUAAAUGAAAACAAAUUACUUAGAACGGUGUAUAACAGUAGGAACAUCAACAACAACCCAGUUGCUGCAAGUCCGGCCAUGCGUCACAAAGUUGGCGCAAGCUUCGUCUUUGUCACUACUAUCCUCAAUAAUGGCAGCUGAGUGUUGAUCAUUCCCAUGAAUGAACCCUCCACUAUGGAAUACUGGUUGCAUAACCUUGACAUUAGCGUUGAAAGGCCUUGGUUGAAAUCCUAUCCCUGCUCUAUUUUUAUUCUUGGUGACUUCUACAACACGACUCCACUUAUCAAUACUGCCAACCUGAAUAGCCUCUUGCACAUCCUUCAAAGAAGACAUGGGUGCCCCAUCUUUCUUCAAUUCAUCAACAAUGGACAAAGCUUGGAGCGACGUUCUAACUUCCUCCUCAACAUGAACAUAAGUGAAAGAUGACAAAUGACUCACCAAUAAUGCGUUCUCUCCACCACCAACGACAAGCUUGCUGUUCUUUACAAAUUUCAGCUUUUGGUGAAGAGUAGACGUCACAGCUCCAGCCUCAUGAAUCCAUGGUCUUGCCAACAAGAAGCUAUAGACCGGGUGUAUUUCCAUUACCUGGAAAGUAAUUUGGAAAUCACUCGGACCUAUCUUAACCGGAAGGUCCACUUCUCCAAUGACAGUUUUACGAGAACUGUCAAACGCUUUAACGACUACGUCGUUGUACCUCAUCGGGGUGCCUUGAUAGGAGAGUCUUUACAGAGUUGACUUUGGCAACACAUUCAAUGAUGAUCCAGUAUCAACCAACACAUUGGAAAAAGCAUCCUAUUUGCAAUUUAUUGAAAUAUGUAGCGCCAAAUUAUGAUUUCUGCCUUUCUCAGGAAGCUCUUCAUCAUAAAAACGCAUAUUGUUACAAGAAGUGAUGUUGGCAACAAUAUGGUCAAACUAAUCCACAGUCACAUCGUGCUCUACAUAAGCUUGUUCCAACACUCUCUAUAAGGCUUCUCUAUGUGCCUCAGAAUUCAUCAACAAUGACAUCACAUAGAUCUUUGACAGCGUAUAGAGAAGCUGCUCCACAAUGUUAAAUUCAUUUCUUUUGAUCAGUCGUAACACCUCAUCAUCAUCGUUAGUCUUCAAUUUGCUGGAUUCACCAAACUGACACAUUAGAGUACUAACUGGAUUCACUCCAGGAAUCCCUGCCUUCUUCUCUACAGAAACAUCUUCCACAGCCUUCAGAAACACUGGACUGAACACACGACCACUACGGGUCACCUUCGCAAUGUCCGCAAUAUUUACCACUGAGUAUGCAACUGGUAGAGGAACCUCUCGAUAAUUUUCAAUCAUUGUGGCAUUGUACUGAUAUGGUAUAGCUUUAUCAGAUGCAUAAGGAACAGGUCCCGCUAACCAUAUUACCAACGGUGAUACCGAUCUAUUGACAUUAUUAUUGUUGCUGCUAUCAAACUGAAUGACUACCCGCUCAGGGGUCUGAAACAUCGGCACAAUGACAUUCACAUCAUUUACCAUAUCCCUCAAAUGUUAAUCUGGAUUACAUUCUCAUCCAUCAACUUAUGGAUAUCCCUUUUGACAAUCAUACACCCACGGGGGUUCACACUGCAAAUGACACAACCAUCAUGGUCAUGUUCACAAUCACUAAUUAAACACAAGGAUCUAUGCAUUUCUACCAGAGAUCUUUAGAUACACCUCACAUCAAAAACUCUGAAUAUCCCUGGACAACCGUUCACCAUGUUGACAGAAGCGUUACCAUGAGCAGGCAACAAAUUGGCUUUCAUAUUCGGCGCUCUAUCCUCAAAGGACACCAUACCACUUUUCACAAGUUUUUGAACUUCAUAUUUCAGCGGAUAGCAAUUCUCUAUAUCAUGACCAGGGGCUCCCUGGUGAAAAGCACAUGAAGACCAGGUUUGAACCACCAUGGUAGUGGCUCAGGAAUUUGGGGAGGGUUUCUUGGAUGAAUAAGAUUCUUAAGUACCAAAGACGGGUACAAAUCUGUAUACAUCGUAGGAAUAGGGUCAAAGGAGACCUUCCUCUCAAAAUUUUGCGGAUGAUGAAUGUUGUUGUUGUAGUUGGUUCUUUGUUGUGGUUGUUACUGAUGUUGUUGUUACUGAAUUGGAACUAAUUGAUUAGUUGAAUUGAUAGCAAAAACUGGAGUUACUGAUGAUACUUGGUGAUGAUAUUGACGAGAUUGAGAACUUUUCCUUACAUGAGGCCUCCUCUACCUCCCCACUGACACUGAAUUAGUUUCUCCCUCCUUCUUCUUGGAGAAACUCCCACCAUACUUCUUGCUAGCUGACGCCUCAUCUUUAGAAAAACGUCCUUCAAAGACUCCUUCGUCUAAUCUCAUCCCCGUGUUUACCAUCUCAGUAAAAUCAUUGGGGGCACUUGCAAUCAUGCGUUCGUAGUAAAACGAACUCAGCGUCUUAAGGAAAAUCUUGGUUAUUUCCUUCUCUUCAAGAGGCGGACUGAUUUGAGCAGCUAAUUCUCUCCAUCUCUAAGCAUAUUCUUUAAAUGUCUCCUUAUCCUUCUGAGACAUCGAUAUCAAUUGAUCUCUAUCUGGCGCCAUAUCAAUGUUGCACUUAUAUUGCUUGACAAAGGCCUCACCCAAGUCAUUGAAAGUAUGAAUGCUGGCACUGUCCAUGCCCAUGUACUAUCUGAGGGAAGCUCUAGUUAAAUUGUCUUGAAAGUAGUGAAUCAACAGCUGAUCAUUAUCAGUUUGAGUAGACAUUUUUCUGGCAUACAUAAUAAGAUGGCUCAACGGACAGAUAUACCCUUUGUAUUUUUCAAAGUCUGGGACCUUGAAUUUCACCAGAAUCUUGACGUUGGGAACUAAGCACAAUUCAGCAACACUCUUUCCAAAUAAAUAUUUCCCUCUCAGAGUCUUCAAUUCUUUGCAUAACUUAAGGAACUGAUCUUUCAUCUCAUCCAUCUUCUCAUAGACAUCUGGACCUUCAGACGACUCAGAAUGGUAGAUAGUCUCCUCAACACGAGGCAAAGUAUGAAUGAUGGGAGGAGGCACUGACAUGACCGGGCUAGAUUCCGGCAGAGAAACAAACGUGGGCGCAUACCUCUCUGUCAUAAAAUUUGGUGGCAUUCCCCAAGGGAAUCCAACAGACAUAGCAGGAAUGGGCUGGCUGGCAGCAGUAAUAGUUACAGACGGUGAAGCAAUCUCAGAGAUGACAGUCCUCUGAGGAUGAGGAGUUGCGGGAGACGGUGAUGAAUGGUUUUGAGCAAUAAUCACAGAUUCCAUCAGCGUCGUAAGUCUGGCGAUCUCAUCCUUCAGAUCUCCAUUCUCUCGCUCUAGAUGCUCCAUUCUCUUCAGUCGAUUAGCACGAGUGUUGUAGUGGUGAGUCAGCUUGGCUGAUGCACAGAAGAAGAAUUGAUAAGACAUCUGGCAGAAGAAACCUGUUAUGCAAAUGAUGCAUGGAAUGCAAUUUUUUUUAUUGUUUUUAAUUUCAAGGAAUAUAUGAAGUCUUAUUUGCAAAUUUAUAUAUUCAAUUAAUAAUACCAAUAAUAAUAACAAUUCAAUGGACCAUAGAAUCUCUUUUUUCCCCAUAAAAUUGGAAGGAUUACACUGAGUAUAAUUUCAGAAACCAAAAUACAAAUACAAGAGAAAAGGAAACUAUCAUCCUACGAAUCCUAGCAACUACAUCAGAUGAUCUGGCUAUGGGUGUAUACUUCCUUCAUAUGCAUCGAAUCUUAGACUCAAAGGUUGUCUUCAUCUAAUCCUUCUCGAGGACAAGCUGAUCAACAAUCUUCUUCCAAGCACCAGAAGCUGGAGGCAUACUAGAGGAAAAUAAAUCCUCUAGCUCUCUCUGUCUCUUUACUGCAUGAUCCUCAAGAAUCUCAAUAAGUGCAUCCUUGUCUUUCAACUUAAGCUGCAACUCCUCAUGCUUUUGGUUCAAAGCAUGUAGCCGCUCUUCCCACAUAACUCUCUCUUGCUUCAUCUUGGCGAGUGCCUCUUCCAACUCCUCUAUAUCUUGGUUAGGGAGAGUUGAUGGCUCAGCCACAACCACAGACAUAGGUCUCUCACAAGCAUAUGGCAUCUUCAACUCCAAAGCUCUCUUCUUCACCCAAAUAGUGUAAGCUUCCAAAGCUACACAGUUGCGUGAACCAAGUUCGGAUCUUCCCUUCCUAUGCACAUUAUGCCAAGCAUGUAUCAUCCUUUUCUUCAAAUGUUGGGGAUCUUUACCCUCUUGAUAAAAUAGACCUUCUAACCGAGUGUUCUUAGGUUUAUCUCUUAAGGGGAACCCAAGUUGACGACGGGCCAAUGCUGGGUUGUAGUUGAUUCCUCCUUGUGUACCAAUGAGAGACACGUUAGAGAACUCACCAUAACUGUCAAUAAUGUCCAAGCUACCCAAUAUAGGAUCAUACCAAACAAUAUCAUCAUUAGUGUGAGACAUAAGCCUCUAGGACCAUCGUAGACAUUUUCGAUUCUCCACAAAAGCAGGUGUCUGAGGCAAGUGCGAAAUAAACCACUUGUACAUAAGAGGAACACAUCACACAAUAGUCCCACCACCUUUAGAAAUCCUCAAAUGCAAAGAGAAAUACAUGUCACCCAACAGAGUCAAAACAUGAUUCCCAAUCAAGAAAACUCUAAGGGUGUUAACAUCAACAAAACUGUCAAUGUUAGGGAACAAAACCAAGCCAUAGAUAAGUAAUACAAAGAUAGCUUUAAAAGCAUACAUGCUACCAGCUUGAGCAAAAACAGCAACUCUACCAAUGAGAAAAUCAGAAGUCAAUCCCAGAAUUCCUCCUUUCUUCACCAAGUGAGCACUAAUCUCAUAUUUCUUCAGAUGAAGAGCUUCGGUUAUGAUAUGAGAUAUCGGGAUCUCCUCUAAUCCACUAAAAGGUACCUUGUUAGACACGAGCAUACCCAAGAAAUGGGUAGACUCCUCCAACUUGGGCACAAGCUGAUAGUCAAGAAAAGUGAAGCACCGGUAGAGAGGCUCAUAGAAAUGAAUCAAAACACUCAUAAGCCCUUCAACCACAUUAGUAGAUAAUACAGACAAGAGCUUCCCAUGACGUUGCUUGAAAUCCAAGGGAUCUAGUACAAAGGAUGACAACUUCCUUAGCUCUUUCAAAUUGAGACAUCUUAAAUUGUACUUCUUAGUGUUCCUUCGUCCAUAAUCCAUGGUCUGAAAAUAUUUGCAAAUAAGACCUUAAUUUCCUUGAAAUUUGUUUUUUGUGAUGAAUGUCAUGAUGCGCAUGUAUGCAUGGAUGCAACAAUCACACACAAGGGAUCACACACAAGGCAAACACAAAUAAAGGUCAAGGGAUGGAUCAAGUCAUCAUCAAGAUCAAUCAUCAAUUUUAGUGGAUUAUGGUUUUCACCUUAUCAACACCCAAGUUCUAUUGAUAUUGACAAGACUUGAUCGGAUCGACCAAGAAUCAAAGGAUUUGUUAUAAGUCAUGAGCAUGUAGUCAGGUUAAGAACCAUCCCAAAGGAGUGUACUAAGGAUAAAAACCUGUAGAUCAUGUUCUAAAAAGUUACCAGAGUCUUAAUCCCAUCUAUCGAAUAUUAUAGGUUAGGAUGACUGACUCAUCAACCCAUAAUAUUCUCAAGAGAAACUCGUCUGAGUGUAGUAUCGCGUAAAAACUGUUAUCAAGUCUACACUUGAAGAGUCUCCAUACUACAUCCUAAAUAUGCCAAGUUGGGUUAAAUGUUUUAUGGUCCUCAGCUUCUCGGACCCCAAAUUAGAGAAAGUAAUGCCUAUCCACAAAUAACUUGUGUGACAUCAGUAACUCUAAAGAGGUCUCCAUUUAGUAGAUGGAUCUCAAGCCAACUUAUUAAGGACUACUCCACACAAGUCGAACAUGACUAUACCAUCCUCCUAUCUUAAUCUCACUUAAGUUCGGGUUAGAACUUAUCUCACCACUCAUGGAUCACCAAGCACAACAAAUAGAUUAUGUCACACAAACAAUAUAUACAAACAUCAAAUAUACAAAUAUAUACACAUAAAAAAGUAGGCUAAACCCGCUAAGGACUACUUCCCAGCAGAGUCGCCACUUAAUUUCUGUAGCGGUAAAUUCAUGACCAUCGAGCUAUGGAUAAACUUGACGUUAAUAAAACCACAGUCGCCACCGCGCUUUUAUUAUUUCCAAAGGAAAAGGGAAAAGUACGAACAAAACCCAAAGAUAAGAAGUUUUCAAAUCAAAACUAAUAAAAUGCCAUGGAUUACAGGUAAGGGGAUUGGUUACACUAAGGGAAUGUGUUAGCACCUAAAGUGUCAUAGGUACUCCUAUGGAGCCCUUUUUUGCGUGCAUAUGUUUUUGGGUAUAAAUGAUAUUUGAUAAAAUAUAGAGUGUGGGGAUGAGAAAAGAAUUCAUUAAUUAUCUUUUUGUGUUUGAUAAGACCUUCGGUUUUACGCCUACGUACCAACAUAAAUAUGAGGGAUCAAAACCCCGUAGUUCGUGGUAAAAAUUUCAAAGAAGUUGGUGAAUUGAUUUUAACAAAAGUUUAACAAGAAAAGUGCACAAAAAGGCCAAACAUUUGAAUGAGGUUGUUAGUUCCUUUUGUCUUUUGAAAUUUAAGUCAAUAUGGUUAAGUUUAUUUACAAUUUUGAUUUAAGAAAAAGUUUUAAAAAAUCAAUGUCAUAAGGCCAAAGUUUAUAUUCAUUAAAACAUGUUUAAGUUGAAAAACACAAGCAAAGAAUUUUUUUGAAAACAGGGAGAAGUUUUGAAAUUUAAUAAGUGGGAGGAGGUGAAGAGACUAUCCUAAGCAAAAAUUUAAAAGUUAAGAGUUGAAAAGAUCUGACCAAUGGGAUGCAAUCCAACAGACAAGAAUGUCAUAUAGAAACUCAUUUUCCUUUGGACUUUGAUCAAGCAAUAAGCAAUAAAUAAUGAGCAAUAUCCAGACAUCAUAAAGAUCAAGGAAUCAAAUAAAGAUAGCCAUAUCCAAGCAAGAAUUCCAAUAGCUAGCAGUCUUCAGUGUCUUCCAAUGUAUCAGAUGAAAUAUUCCUUGAUCAGCUUAGAACAAAACAUUAGACAUAGACAAUAACCAAAAUAAAAAUUAAGCACUACGAUAAAGUAACAGAUGAAUCAAAGAGAUCCAAGUUCUUACAUCAGAUGAAAGUCAUUGUCAAAGAUAGCUCAGUCUCAGAUGGUGGCAUUGACCAAGUCCUUUAGCAUAGGGAAUGUUGCCUAAUUCUAAGUCCAAAGCUCAUAUCAAGUCCUAAUAGUCCACCAAAUGUUUUUUAAGGUUUUUGUUGUUAUUAGGGGUUUUAGGAUCCUAAGACCACAAAAUCAAAACACACAAACAAAUAUAUAUAAUCACAAGAUAUGGCUCAAGUGAGCAAAGUAAAAAAGGACUUAAACAUAAACAAGUUGUAUGAAAUGUACAUGACAAUGAAUGAUAAAUGACUGAAAUUUAAAUUGCAUAAAGUAAAUGACUUGAAAGUAAAAGCAUAGUGAAUAAGAGUUAGUCAAUGGUUAGUCAAAUGUUAGUGUUGAGUUUUAAUUGAUUAAGUCAUUAUUUGGAUAACACUCAACCAUUCACUCACAAGUAUGAAUCCUUGAACCAAGACAUCUUCCAUGAGAAGGACUCCAACUUGGAUAAUUCGACAAGUAUGCCACUAGCUCUCAUGAAAGGAAAAAAGGUCAAGUCUCCACACAAUUCCAUGAACAAUGGGAGACUUACAAUCUUACUUACUAGAAUGAUAUGCCUUCUUGAUCAAAUUUAGCUCUAUGUUAAGCAAUCAUAAUUGGACUUAUGUAGAAGUCACAACUCUAAGAGGCCGGGAAAUAAAAAUAUAAGUGUUAAUGCAUGUUAGACACAUGGUACAAAGAACCAAACUCUAAAAACAUACCACACACUAAAAGAAAAUGGGAGGGACCUAUUCAAUCAAACUUGUAUUGAUUCAUCUGACACAAGGUCAUUGAUGAAUCAAUUAGCAUUUAGACAUUAGAGAUUUCAUUGGUAAAUGAGGGAAUGGGGAAGAAUAGGGAUGAAGAUGAAGAGGGAGUGGGAAAAUAGAAACACAAAUUGAUCAUAAGAGGAAUUUCAUCUGAUCAAUACCAUCCAUUCAUUUUGGGAGAUGAAAUGUACAUUUCAUCAAUCCCCUAAAUCCAAUGGUUUUGAUAAAACAAAAGUUAAAUCAACCAUGACCAAGGCCCAAAUAUAAAUUCAAACAUCACAAGACCAUAAAAAUGGCUCAAAACAAUUUUUAAACAUUUAAUCAAUUAAAAAUCAAUUUAAAAAUGAAUGAAAAUGCAUUUUAAUUUUGACAAAAUCUCAAAUCCCUUCAAAACACCAAAUAAAUGGCCAAGGGAUUUAUCCUAGGUCAAAUAAGGUCAAAGGACCUUAGAUAAUUUUUUUUACAAUUUUUAGAAAGUCAGAAGUAUUUUAAAACAAUUAAAAAUAUGCACAAAAACAUUUAAUUCAUGAAAAAUACCAAAAUUAAUCCAAAAAAUAAUUUUAAUUCAAAAUAUGGAAGAGGAAAAUAUUUAAAGGUUUUUGGAAAAAGUCCCAUAUAUUUUGGAUUAAAAAUGAAAUUUCUAUGAAUUAAACAAAAUAAGUGGAUUAAAUGAAAAUUCAGAAAAUACGAAAAAACAAGGGCCAUAAGAUCUCCCUCAUUAAUUGAGGUGGCAGAUUUGAUGGACAAUCAUGCGCUUCACACCAUACACCUCAGUCAACGCGUCAUAGGGAUGGUAAUCAUAAAGAGCGGUUAAGAUUAAAACAUUUCAAAUGAAUCAGAAGGUUGGGAGAGUGUCAACUCACCACCGGAGCCCUAGCUCCGAUCUUCUUCUCCGACAGACCUCAUCGGACUGGUCCACCAACAACCUUCACAAAAAUGAAAAGUGUGGACAUGAUUUUAAAGGAAAAUUGCCCAAGAGCUCGAAUUUGACCUCCAUUUCAUCCAAUUCCAAGUAUAUUGAAAGAUACAUGGAUUUGAAAUUUGAGGUUCAUGAUCUGAGUUGAGAAAUGAGGGAGAAUCGAAGAAGAGAAGUUUGAGAAAAAUCACCUUUGGGUAGCUUCAAUUCAGCUUGAUCUUGCUUCCAAUUUGCCUUGGCUCGACUCUAAAAGCUUGCAGGAAGUGAAAUGGAUCAAUGAGAGGCUUGGACUCUUGGAGUUUCAAUCUUAAAAUAGAAGGAGAAUUGAAAUUCGAUUUCAAGUGAAAUCUUCAAGUUUAUCCUUUAAUGGAGGCUAGGGAUGCAAGUAUUGAAAGCUUGGGCAAAAGGGAUCCUCAUUUUGAUCACAAUGGUCAUGUAUAUAUAGCAUAGCUAGUUGCUUUUCACACACUUUGGAAUUUUCCCAAUUUUAGCAACUUUGGUGCAUGGAAGCAUGGGCAAUAAUUUAGGCCCAAGUCAUGAUGUGAUCUCACUCCAAUUCGUGCACAAUGAAUCCUGAAACAAUAACAUGUAAGCAUGCAAAAGGAAAAGGUCAAUUGAAUUCAAAUCUUUCCAAAACAAACCUAUGAAAGGAACCAUACACAAGUCCCUCAAAUCUUAUCCAAAUGAAGUGAUAUUGAAAUUUUUGGAAAGGUGACAUCAAGCGCAACAACUUUGAUGUUGAACACUUUUCCAUUUGAAGCUUGGAUCAUGAAGCAUUUUGAGGUGGAAGUUUUAGAAAUCAAACAUAAUUGAAAAUUUUUGAAGCUACCAAGUCAUAUGACCACUUGUUCCACCUUUAAUAACUUUUGCUAUGGACUUUAUCUUAUAAAAAUUGAGCAAGUUAUGGUCCUUGGAAGUUGACCUCCUAAGUAGGACACAAACAAAAUGACCUAUAAUCUUUCACCAUAAAUAAUGACAUUCCAUGCAAGACUGGCUCUUGAUGUCAACAUGAAAGUUGUUUGGAAUGUCAUAAAGAGUAACUUUUGAUGAUUUCAAGGCAAACAAGCUUCAAACUCUUGAUGAUUUCUUGAUCCAAAUUAUAAAUAAAGAGCAUGGGGAUCCAUAUAUUAUGUUUAGAACCAUUGUGAACAAUCUCUUGAUUCAUCUCCUUGCAUUGAGGGUCUCAAGUCCUAGUUGUGAGCUUGAUAGGGCACAGGUGAAUGAAUACACUACCUACAAAAGAAACAAAGCUAUAUAUGGACAUAUUUUUUGUAUUUUGGUUAGUAAACAGAGAAAAAUAAAGUAUGAUAUAAUCAAAUGUGCAUGGUGAUCUCUCCCAAUACAAACCCAAUGAAUAAGGGGUAAGAAGGAUGCUAAGGUGUGAUCCCACAACCAAUGCAAAUGAUGAGAUAGCAUAAUGGACCUUAGUGUCAAAAUUGGGGUCUUACAGCUGUCCCUAUAUAAGGACAUUCUAACUGAGGAUGUGAAGGUUAAAAUCUUCGUAUCAACUCAGUGUAAUAACAUCAAGAAAUAAAUUUUAGUCCCUAAGAGACCUCAUGAUGCAUAUGAUAUGAAUGUUAAAAUAAUCUUUGUGGGGAAUAUAUUUCCACAAAGGAAAAAAAAUCGGAGAGAUUGAAAGUCCAAAGGAGCAUAAUGUAUUUCGUAAGGAAAACUCACUGAGGAGACAAAGACUCUAGGGGAUAAAAUGUUAUGUGUAGGCCAGGCUAUGACUUGAAAACUGCUGGAGACACGAGGGAUUUUACAUAAAAAUAAAUCAAUGGAAAGACUCGGUCUGGGGAUAAGGUUAUCUGCAGGGGAUGGAGACUUCAUUAAGGAAAUAUACGCUCAAACUCAACUGGGGAAGAAUAAACUUCAACACAGGAGUAAAAGAGAUGUAUUAUCUACUACCAGUUACUGGGUAAGAAGAUAAUAUACUCUGACAGAGGCACAUCCGUUACCGGUUAGGGUAAAUAUAUCAAGGAUGACUCAUUGAGGAAAAAGAGGCGCAUUCAUUACCAGUUACUGGGUAAGAAUAACGUACUGGGGAGAAAAAAAAUCAAAUAGGAUUUACAAAUACCUUUUACUGGGUAGAAGACCAAAAAGAGAGUAUCCGUCACUGUUUAAAGUAAACAUAUCAAGGAUAAACUCAAAGGAAGAAUAUCUAUCAUCAGUUAGGAUGAGCAUAUCAAGGAUAGACCACCUGGGGAAAGAGGAAGAAUAUCUGUUACCUGUUAGGGUAAACAUAUCAAGGAUAAACUGCCGGGGAGAAAUAUGAAUUACAACUACCAAUUAUUGGGUAGAAGACCAAAGAUAGAGAAUACCCGUCAUCAGUUAGGAUGAACAUAUAAAGGAUAUACUCAGCAGAGGAUAUGGGAUUUACAACUACCGGUUACUAGGCAGAAGACCAUAAAAAUUGAGAGAAUUUGUCAUUGGUUAGAGUGAACAUAUCAAGGAUUAACUCUGAGGGGAAAAGUAUGAUUUAUAUCUACCAUUUACUGGGCAGAAGACUGCAUAGAGGAGAAAAUUCGUCACCGGUUAAACUGAACAUAUCAAGGAUAGAAUCUCUAGGGAAUAAAAGUAGGGAUUACAACUACCUUUUUAUUGGGUAGAAGACCAAAAAUAGAGAAUAUCUGUCAUCGGUUAGGAUGAACAUAUCAAGGAUAGACUCACCGGGGAAACGUGAAAAUAAAUCCGCUAGGGAAAAAUAAAGGAAGUAGAUUACAUUUGACUGGGUAUUGGGAAAAAGUGAUGUACUCAACAUCAAGAAGAAUAUUGUCCAUUACUGGGUAAUAGACUCUUGGAGACCAAAAGAUCCAUCUAGGUAAGAACUAGAAAGAAACGGUCAAACAAAGACUCAACCCAAUGAGGAUAUAAUUCAAGGGGAGUGGUUCCAUCCAGGUAAAGUACAGGGGAGAACACCAAAAUAAUAAUCAUCCAUGAGGAAAUAAAUCAAUGGGGAAUGAGAAAGGAUAAACUCUUUCUGCUUAAAGGGGAUAACACUCUACAAUUGAAGGAGGACAGACACACCAAAUCUGUCUGGGGAAAUAAUAUCACCAAAGAAGGGGAUUAGAAGAAAAAAUCAAUGCGAUAAAAAUGCAUAAUGAAAUAUAUGAUGUUGUGUUUUAUGCAUGAAUAUGCAUGUGUAUGAUUAUGAUUAUGCUGACAAAAACAGCACAAACGAUACAAAUAAUGAAGAUUUGAAUCAUCACUACAAAACACUCAGCUAAUCUCAACAAGAUGGAAACACCAACUAGAGAAUAUGCUAGGGAUGAAAAUAAAUCAUCUAACUCUGAAUAAAUCAACUCUGGAUGGGGAUAGACAUGGAGAACAUGUUUCCAAUCAAUCAUGGAAAACUCCACGGGGGGAAGAGAGCACUUCUGAAGGAUAAUCAACCACAAAGGUCUUGUCAAACACAAAAAUAUAAUCAAUGAAUUCUUUUCUCAUCCCCUCACUUUAUAUUUUAUCAAACAUCAUUUAUACCAAAAACAUAUGCACACAAAAAAGGGCUCCCUAAGAGUACCUAGGAUACUUUGGGUGCUAACACCUUUCCUCUAUGUAACCAACCCCCUUACCUGUAAUCUCUGACAUUUUAUUAGUUUUGAUUUGAAAACUUCUUAUCUUUGGGUUUUGUUCAUACUUUUCCCUUUUCCUUUGGAAAUAAUAAAAGCACGGUGGGGACUCUAGUUUUAUUGACGUUAAGCUUAUCCAUAACUUAAUGGUCAUGAAUUUACCGCUAUAGAAAUUAAGUGGCGACUCUGCCGAGGAGUAGUACUCAGUGGGUUUAGCCUACUUUUUUAUGUAUGUAUAUGUAUAUUUGAUGUUUGUUUGUAUAUAUUGUUGUGUGAUAAUUCUAUCUGUUGUGCUUGGUGAUCUAUGUGUGGUGAGAUAAGUUCUAACCCAAACUUGAGUGCAAUUAAGAUAAGAGGAUGGUAUAGUCAUGUUCAACUUGUGUGGAGUAGUCCUUAACGAGUUGGCUUGAGAACUAUCUACUCAGUGGAUACCUCUUUAGAGUUAAUGAUGUCACACAAGUAAUUUUUGGAUAGGCAUUACUUUAUCUAAUUUUGGGGUCCGAGAAGUUGAGGAUCGUAGAACAUUUAACCCAACUUAGCCUAUUUAGGACGUAGUGCAGAGACUGUUCAAGUGUAGACUUGAUAACAGUUGUUACGCGAUAUUACACUCAUACGAGUUUCUCUUGAGAAUAUUAUGGGUUGAUGAGUCAGUCAUCCUACCCUAUAAUAUCUGAUAGAUGGAAUCAAGACUCUGAGAACUUUUUAGAACAGGAUCUACAAGUUUUUAUCCUUAGUACACUCUGUUGGGAUGGUUCUUAACCCGACUCCAUGCUCAUGACUCACAAAAAACCCUUUGAUUCUUGGUUGAUCCAAUCAAGUCUUGUCAAUAUCAAUGGAACUUGGGUGUCGAUAAGGUGAAAACCAUAAUCCACCAAAAUGGAUGAUUGAUCUUGAUGAUGACUUAAUCCAUCCUUUGACCUUUGUUUGUGUUUUCCUUGUGUGUGAUUGUUGCAUUCAGGCAUACAUGCGCAUCAUGACAUUCAUCAUAGAAAAAAUAAAUUUCAAGGAAACCAAGGUAUCAUUUGCAAAUAUUUUCAGACCAUGGAUUAUGGACGAAAGAACACUAAUAAGUACAGUUUCAGAUAUCCUGAUUUGAAAGAGCUAAGAAAAU